This 484-nucleotide ribosomal RNA is filed under the name uncultured bacterium. RNAcentral describes it as "partial 16S ribosomal RNA". It matches the Rfam family "Bacterial small subunit ribosomal RNA", at positions 29 to 507 of the family's 1533-position model. The record is from RNAcentral.
AAUGAACGCUGGCGGCAUGCCUAACACAUGCAAGUCGAGCGAAAGAAUGGGGCUUGCUCCCGGAUUCAGCGGCGGACGGGGGAGUCAUGCCCAUGAAUCUGCCUUAACGCGCGGAAUGAGGUCCGAAAACGGGCGCUUAUCUCGCAUCCGAACAUAUAUCGAAAGUGGGGGGUCCUCGGUUCUAUCGCUUUCUGAUGAGGCUAGGACGGAUUAGCUAGGUGGAGGCGUAACUGCCUAGCAAGGCGGCUAACCGUAACUGGGCUGAGAGGAUGACCAGUCACACUGGAACUGAGACACGGUCCAGACUCCGACGGGAGGCAGCAGUGGGGAAUAUUGCGCAAUGGGCGAAAGCCUGAUACAGCAAUGCCGCGUGAGUGAUGAAGGUCUUCUGAUUGUAAAGCGCUGUAAGUUGGGAGGAAGUAAAGUAAGUUUAUCCCUGACUGUAUUGACGGUACCGACAGAAUAAGCUCCGGCUAACUUCGUG